This 460-nucleotide ribosomal RNA is filed under the name uncultured bacterium. Its description in RNAcentral is "partial 16S ribosomal RNA". It matches the Rfam family "Bacterial small subunit ribosomal RNA", at positions 338 to 795 of the family's 1533-position model. The record is from RNAcentral.
CCUACGGGAGGCAGCAGUGAGGAAUAUUGGUCAAUGGACGAGAGUCUGAACCAGCGAAGUAGCGUGAAGGAUGACUGCCCUAUGGGUUGUAAACGUCGUUUAUAUGGGAAUAAAACGUUCCACGUGUGGGAUUUUGUAUGUACCAUAUGAAUUAGGAUCGGCUAACUCCGGCCCAGCCGCCGCGGUAAUACGGAGGAUCCGAGCGUUAUCCGGAUUUAUUGGGUUUAAAGGGAGCGUAGGUGGAUUGUUAAGUCAGUUGUGAAAGUUUGCGGCUCAACCGUAAAAUUGCAGUUGAAACUGGCAGUCUUGAGUACAGUAGAGGUGGGCGGGAUUCGUGGUGUAGCGGUGAAAUGCUUAGAUAUCACGAAGAACUCCGAUUGCGAAGGCAGUUCACUGGACUGCAACUGACACUGAGGCUCGAAAGUGUGGGUAUCAAACAGGAUUAGAUACCCUAGUAGUC